GAUGAAGAACGCAGCGAAAUGCGAUAAGUAAUGUGAAUUGCAGAAUUCAGUGAAUCAUCGAAUCUUUGAACGCACAUUGCGCCCGCCAGCAUUCUGGCGGGCAUGCCUGUUCGAGCGUCAUUUCAACCCUCGAGCCCCCCCGGGGGCCUCGGUGUUGGGGGACGGCACACCAGCCGCCCCCGAAAUGCAGUGGCGACCCCGCCGCAGCCUCCCCUGCGUAGCAGCACACACCUCGCACCGGAGCGCGGAGGCGGUCACGCCGUAAAACGCCCAACUUUCUUAGAGUUGACCUCGGAUCAGGUAGGAAUACCCGCUGAACUUAAGCAUAUCAAUAAGCGGAGGA
This 343-nucleotide unclassified non-coding RNA is filed under the name soil metagenome. RNAcentral describes it as "partial contains 5.8S ribosomal RNA, internal transcribed spacer 2, and large subunit ribosomal RNA". The stretch from base 1 to 120 matches the Rfam family "5.8S ribosomal RNA", at positions 35 to 154 of the family's 154-position model. The record is from RNAcentral.